UACAGAGGGUGCGAGCGUUAAUCGGAAUUACUGGGCGUAAAGCGUGCGUAGACGGCUAUCUAAGUCGGGUGUGAAAGCCCCGGGCUCAACCUGGGAAUUGCAUUCGAGACUGAAUAGCUAGGGUACGGUAGAGGGAAGCGGAAUUUCCGGUGUAGCGGUGAAAUGCGUAGAUAUCGGAAGGAACAUCAGUGGCGAAAGCGGCUUCCUGGACCAGCACCGACGUUCAGGCACGAAAGCGUGGGGAGCAAACAGG
This 253-nucleotide ribosomal RNA is filed under the name uncultured bacterium. RNAcentral describes it as "partial 16S ribosomal RNA". It matches the Rfam family "Bacterial small subunit ribosomal RNA", at positions 524 to 776 of the family's 1533-position model. The record is from RNAcentral.